Artibeus jamaicensis (Jamaican fruit-eating bat) is the source of this 104-nucleotide small nucleolar RNA. RefSeq annotates it as small nucleolar RNA U13. The transcript has a single exon. Lineage: Eukaryota; Metazoa; Chordata; Mammalia; Chiroptera; Phyllostomidae. The record is from RefSeq and is a predicted model, not a curated record.
AUCCUUUGGUAGUUCAUAAGUGUGAUGACUGGGUGUUCACAUUCCCGAGUGAUGUGUGCCUCCCACAAACCUAGACACAACAUCGUCACAUUACCCAUCUGACG